Molecule: transfer RNA, 76 nt
Filed under: Pseudohongiella spirulinae
Lineage: Bacteria; Pseudomonadati; Pseudomonadota; Gammaproteobacteria; Pseudomonadales; Pseudohongiellaceae
Also listed under: 6 other names
Description: tRNA-Phe
Rfam family: tRNA
About the family: Transfer RNA (tRNA) molecules are approximately 80 nucleotides in length. Their secondary structure includes four short double-helical elements and three loops (D, anti-codon, and T loops).
Source: RNAcentral
GCCCAGGUAGCUCAGUUGGUAGAGCAGAGGAUUGAAAAUCCUCGUGUCGGUGGUUCGAUUCCGCCCCUGGGCACCA